RNAcentral lists this transfer RNA (71 nucleotides) under Planctomycetota bacterium. RNAcentral describes it as "Planctomycetes bacterium (groundwater metagenome) tRNA-Cys". It matches the Rfam family "tRNA". Rfam says of the family: Transfer RNA (tRNA) molecules are approximately 80 nucleotides in length. Their secondary structure includes four short double-helical elements and three loops (D, anti-codon, and T loops). Lineage: Bacteria; Pseudomonadati; Planctomycetota. The record is from RNAcentral.
GGCGGCAUAGCCAAGCGGCAAGGCAAUGGUUUGCAAAACCAUCAUCCCCGGUUCGAAUCCGGGUGCCGCCU